This 299-nucleotide signal recognition particle RNA is filed under the name Aotus nancymaae (Ma's night monkey). Its description in RNAcentral is "Metazoan signal recognition particle RNA (ENSANAG00000004722.1)". It matches the Rfam family "Metazoan signal recognition particle RNA". Rfam says of the family: The signal recognition particle (SRP) is a universally conserved ribonucleoprotein. It is involved in the co-translational targeting of proteins to membranes. The record is from RNAcentral. Lineage: Eukaryota; Metazoa; Chordata; Mammalia; Primates; Aotidae.
GCCAGGCGCGGUGGCGUGUGCCUGUAGUCCCAGCUACUUAGGAGGCUGAGGCUGGAGGAUCCCUUGAGCCCAAUAGUUCUGGGCUGUAGUGCGCUAUGCUGAUCGGGCGUCCGCACUAAGUUUGGCAUCAAUAUGGUGACCUCCUGGGAGCGGGGAACCACCAGGUUGCCUAAGGAGUGGUGAACCGGCCCAGGUCGGAAACAGAGCAGGUCAAAACUCCCGUGCUGAUCAGUAGUGGGAUCGCGCCUGUGAACAGCCACUGUACUCCAAUCUGGGCAAUAUAGCUAGACCCCGUCUCU